UACGAAGGGGGCUAGCGUUGUUCGGAAUUACUGGGCUGUAAAGCGUGCGCAGACGGUCAUGUAAGUCGGGUGUGAAAGCCCCGGGCUCAACCUGGGAAUUGCAUUCGAGACUGUGUGGCUAGGGUGCGGAAGAGGGAAGCGGAAUUUCCGGUGUAGCGGUGAAAUGCGCAGAUAUCAGGAGGAACACCGAUGGCGAAGGCAGG
Molecule: ribosomal RNA, 203 nt
Filed under: uncultured bacterium
Lineage: Bacteria
Description: partial 16S ribosomal RNA
Rfam family: Bacterial small subunit ribosomal RNA
Source: RNAcentral